GGUGUGAUUGCAGAACGUAGUGAGGACAGGGUUUCCUUUAACACUAUGGAAGAUGAAGGAGCAGUAUACCACUUCAAUAUGCUGAUACUGAGCCAGCUAUCGACUAUCCUGAUUCUGAGUGCCGGAAGUGAACCACUAUGUCCACCGGGAAGAUACGGAGACGAUUGUGACUUAAACUGUUUCUAAACACUGCGACAUAUAUCCUGCUGAAGGCGUUGUAUACUGUGGCAAGACCAGUGGACACUGUCUUGAAGGAUGUAUUCCAGGCUGGUAUGAGUGACACUUGCAACAAACAGUGCAGCAAGAACUGUGUAAACAACACCUGUAAUCACCAAGAUGGAGCGCGUGCACAUUGGGAUGUAAAGCUGGCAAGACAGGAACCUUUGUGAAGUUACAGAGAAUGGACACGCAAGACAGGCAAAAGACAGCUCAGCACCAAACUGGGCAACAAUUGGUUCUGGUGUCACUGCUGUUGUAUUGCUAUUAUUAAUACCAAUACUAAUGGGCGUAUGUUAUAAACGGUAAGAAUGCAUAUACUAACAUAUUCCUGACUGUUUGAUUAGCAGGCAAAUGAUAGUCCUAGCCAAAAAUAGUUUAUGCUCUGAGCGCCUGGGUUCCUUUGAAGUCAAACCCUGUGUGUAGGCUGGGUGUCUAGCAUUUGGUAUAGAGACAACACAAAUCGUCAUCUGCAUCUGCAAACGUAUUGCUUUUUAUAAACACCAUGUGCCGAAAUAUGUGUCAACAAAACAUAUGUUGCAA
Haliotis rubra (blacklip abalone) is the source of this 759-nucleotide long non-coding RNA. RefSeq lists it as uncharacterized. The record is from RefSeq and is a predicted model, not a curated record. NCBI's taxonomy places the organism in Eukaryota, Metazoa, Mollusca, Gastropoda, Lepetellida, Haliotidae. The transcript is spliced from 4 exons.